UUCGGGGUGAGCGGCGGACGGGUGAGUAACGCGUGGGAACGUACCCUUUUCUGCGGAAUAGCCUCUGGAAACGGAGAGUAAUACCGCAUACGCCCUUUUGGGGAAAGAUUUAUCGGGGAAGGAUCGGCCCGCGUUGGAUUAGGUAGUUGGUGGGGUAAUGGCCUACCAAGCCUACGAUCCAUAGCUGGUUUUAGAGGAUGAUCAGCCACACUGGGACUGAGACACGGCCCAGACUCCUACGGGAGGCAGCAGUGGGGAAUCUUAGACAAUGGGCGCAAGCCUGAUCUAGCCAUGCCGCGUGAGUGACGAAGGCCUUAGGGUCGUAAAGCUCUUUCGCCUGUGAUGAUAAUGACAGUAGCAGGUAAAGAAACCCCGGCUAACUCCGUGCCAGCAGCCGCGGUAAUACGGAGGGGGUUAGCGUUGUUCGGAAUUACUGGGCGUAAAGCGCACGUAGGCGGAUCAGAAAGUUGGGGGUGAAAUCCCGGGGCUCAACCCCGGAACGGCCUCCAAAACUUCUGAUCUGGAGUUCGAGAGAGGUGAGUGGAAUUCCGAGUGUAGAGGUGAAAUUCGUAGAUAUUCGGAGGAACAUCAGUGGCGAAGGCGGCUCACUGGCUCGAUACUGACGCUGAGGUGCGAAAGUGUGGGGAGCAAACAGGAUUAGAUACCCUGGUAGUCCACACCGUAAACGAUGAAUGCCAGUCGUCGGAUAGCAUGCUAUUCGGUGACACACCUAACGGAUUAAGCAUUCCGCCUGGGGAGUACGGUCGCAAGAUUAAAACUCAAAGGAAUUGACGGGGCCCGCACAAGCGG
This 810-nucleotide ribosomal RNA is filed under the name uncultured bacterium. RNAcentral's name for it is "bacterial SSU rRNA". It matches the Rfam family "Bacterial small subunit ribosomal RNA", at positions 85 to 932 of the family's 1533-position model. The record is from RNAcentral.